RNAcentral lists this long non-coding RNA (1318 nucleotides) under Pan troglodytes (chimpanzee). Its description in RNAcentral is "long non-coding RNA NONPTRT010484". Lineage: Eukaryota; Metazoa; Chordata; Mammalia; Primates; Hominidae. The record is from RNAcentral.
GGGCAGCAGUGAGAUCCCCAUGAAGGGUCAGAACUGCUGAAAUAAAUAUCAGCUCAGCUAGGGAGAGCAAUUCCUGUAAUUAUAUCUGCUCAAUGGCUUAUAAUCAGCAUUCUUAGCAGAGCCUGUCCCUUUCAUGUUUUCUCCUCGUGUGUGCAAUAUGGGUGGCACCGAUGGUGGGGGCAGGGGGCAGAAUAACACCUUGGUUAAAAAAAAGGUGGUGGUGUUAGUGGUGGUUAUGGCUGUUUAUAUGAACAUCACUCUUAUUGAGGUUACCUUUGAAAUAAUUCCAGUGGGGCAUUUGCUGGAAUUUCUGGUGGUGGGAAAGGGGCUCUUAAGAGGCUUGGGGGACUGUGUGUUGUUUUUCACUAGGGGGAAUCCUGUGCCUAUAGACAUUUAAAAUACCAAAUAAAACUGAGCGUGUGAACGAAGCUCAGAGUUGCCAUUUUGGUCCUGCCCUCCGAGUGAGGAUCCAUUUUGGGUCCCACCCUCGUGUAGCCAUUCUCCAUCUCCCCUCUGAAAAACUUGAGAGAAACCAGCCGUCUGCCAGUCCACAGCCCGUGUGUCAUUUCCUUCUCCAAGCCUCACUCUUUCCACAGAGGAGACUUUUCAAAUUAACGUUUUCAGUUCAUUAAAGACCGUUUCGCAAACAUCUUGUUCUGGUAAAGGCAGCAUUUCAUCUGGAAAUGGUCAGGCGCACAUUGGCACAGAAUGGUGUGAGAAAGAAAAAAAUUCAAAGUCAAAUCCCUUCUCACCAAGUGGACAGAGAGUGUGCAGUAAGCCUCAACUGGGCCUUCCUUAGAGGAUGCAGAGAUUUCUUUGGAAGGGAAGAACAAAGUCAAUGAAUGAAAAUUAUUUGCUCUUGUUUGUUUUACAAAACUAGCAAGGGAAUAGGGGAGCUGGGCUUUCAUUGCCAUUCUCAAAAAAGAAAAAAAAAAAAAGAGAAUUCUCAGGGAAUGAGCAACAGCUCUCAACUGUGCCUCUUUUUCUUGCUUUUGCUAACAUCCACUGUAGCCUCUCCAGGGCUCUCUCUGUGCUUGGGGAGUAAUGCAUGAAAAUCCUUCUGCCUCCAGAAGAAAAUAUGGUCUUCUCUUCCUUGCCUGGUUUGAAGGAGACACUUUGAGAGCCUCACCCAAAUGGCUGGAUUCCUCAAAAUAAACCAAUGGAGCAAAACAGCAGUACCUGGAAAAGCUUGAGUGCUUGCGGCUGGGACAAAAUUUCAGACAGAUUCAGUUGAUGUACAACUGAAGAUAGCCUUAAAACUGGAAGGAAAACCAUGGAAUGUAAAGGGACACAUUAGCAUGUAAAGCCUGGUGCCUGC